RNAcentral lists this ribosomal RNA (460 nucleotides) under uncultured bacterium. Its description in RNAcentral is "SSU rRNA". It matches the Rfam family "Bacterial small subunit ribosomal RNA", at positions 26 to 518 of the family's 1533-position model. The record is from RNAcentral.
AGAAUCAACGCUGGCGGCGUGCCUAACACAUGCAAGUCGAACGAGAAAGGGGAGCAAUCCCUGAGUAAAGUGGCGCACGGGUGAGUAACACGUGACUAACCUACCCUGGAGUGGGGGAUAACUGAGGGAAACCUUAGCUAAUACCGCAUAAUACCUACGGGUCAAAGGAGCAAUUCGCUUCAGGAGGGGGUCGCGGCCGAUUAGUUAGUUGGCGGGGUAAUGGCCCACCAAGACGAUGAUCGGUAUCCGGCCUGAGAGGGCGCACGGACACACUGGAACUGAAACACGGUCCAGACUCCUACGGGAGGCAGCAGUGGGGAAUUUUGCGCAAUGGGGGAAACCCUGACGCAGCAACGCCGCGUGGAGGAUGAAGUACUUCGGUACGUAAACUCCUUUCGAUCGGGACGAUAAUGACGGUACCGGAAGAAGAAGCCCCGGCUAACUUCGUGCCAGCAGCCGC